RNAcentral lists this ribosomal RNA (472 nucleotides) under uncultured bacterium. RNAcentral describes it as "bacterial SSU rRNA". It matches the Rfam family "Bacterial small subunit ribosomal RNA", at positions 8 to 526 of the family's 1533-position model. The record is from RNAcentral.
AGGGUUCGAUCAUGGCUCAGAACGAACGCUGGCGGCAGGCCUUAUACAUGCAAGUCGAGCGCAUCCUUCGGGAUGAGCGGCGGACGGGUGAGUAACGCGUGGGAAUGUGCCCUUCUCUACGGAAUAGCCACUGGAAACGGUGAGUAAUACCGUAUACGCCCUUUGGGGGAAAGAUUUAUCGGAGAAGGAUCAGCCCGCGUUAGAUUAGGUAGUUGGUGGGGUAAUGGCCUACCAAGCCUACGAUCUAUAGCUGGUUUUAGAGGAUGAUCAGCCACACUGGGACUGAGACACGGCCCAGACUCCUACGGGAGGCAGCAGUAGGGAAUCUUGGACAAUGGGGGAAACCCUGAUCCAGCCAUGCCGCGUGAGUGAAGAAGGCCCUAGGGUCGUAAAGCUCUUUCGCCUGUGAUGAUAAUGACAGUAGCAGGUAAAGAAACCCCGGCUAACUCCGUGCCAGCAGCCGCGGUAAUAC